GUCCUAGCUAAUGCAACAGUCAAGAAGAACAUUUUAACUGGAAUGAUACACAGAGGAUUAGCAUGGCCCCUGUACAAGGAUGUUACAUAAAUCUGUGAAGUGCUCCAUUAAAAA
Molecule: small nuclear RNA, 114 nt
Organism: Pteropus vampyrus (large flying fox)
Lineage: Eukaryota; Metazoa; Chordata; Mammalia; Chiroptera; Pteropodidae
Source: Ensembl